ACUCAAAUGAAUUGACGGGGGCCCGCACAAGCAGCGGAGCGUGUGGUUUAAUUCGACGCACCACGCAGAACCUUACCCAGGCUUGACAUGCGCCUGCGGGUCGCGGAAACGCGGCCGCCUUCGAGGGGGGCGCACCGGUGCUGCAUGGCUGUCGUCAGCUCGUGUCGUGAGAUGUUGGGUUAAGUCCCGCAACGAGCGCAACCCUUGCCCCGUGUUACUUGUGUCACGGGGGACUGCCGCUGGGUUCCAGCGGAGGAAGGCGGGGAUGACGUCAAGUCCGCAUGGCCCCGACGCCUGGGGCGACACACACGCUACAAUGGCCGCAGGAGCGCGCGGCGACCUGGCAACGGGGAGCUAAUCGCGAAGGGCGGUCUCAGUGCAGAUUGGGGGCUGCAACUCGCCCCCAUGAAGGCGGAGUUGCUAGUAACCGCGUGUCAGCAAAGCGCGGUGAAUACGUACCCGGGCCUUGUACACACCGCCCGU
This 483-nucleotide ribosomal RNA is filed under the name uncultured bacterium. Its description in RNAcentral is "partial 16S ribosomal RNA". It matches the Rfam family "Bacterial small subunit ribosomal RNA", at positions 899 to 1397 of the family's 1533-position model. The record is from RNAcentral.